AAAAAAAAAAGACCAGCGCAGAAACCUGGAGGCAGGAGUGUGCUUGAACGCUGAAGAGGGAGCAAGGGCUCAGGUGUGGGUGGAGCAAACUGAGGCAGGAAAGAAAGGAAGGCAGAGGUGCAGAAGCCUCUGGGGAAUCAACCAGUAACCUGACCUGGUUGCCCACGGCCUGGCAGGCCAGCUUCUGGACUGGCUUUUACACUGACUGCAAUGAGAAAGAGCCGGAGGAUUUCCAGCCGAGGACUGACGUGAUCUGCUUUAUGCAUUUAAAAGAUAAUUCUGGUUGCCAUAUGGGGGAGGGGGCUGCAGAUGUUAAUGUAAUAUUACAAGAUAGAGAUAAUGGUAGCUUUUAUCAUGUGCCAGCAUGGAGCUGGUGAGAAGAAACUGCGUCUGAUUUGAAAGGACAGCCGGUGGAAUUUUCUGACAGUUUGGAGGCAGAAUACAAGAGAAAGAAAAGUCAAGGAUGUCCACAAGCCUUUAGCUUAUGCCCCUGGAGCAAUGUCUUUUCCAUUAACUGAGAUGAGGAAGGCUACAAGAAAUAACGUACAAAUAUGUACCCAAAAGUUGAUAGUUUGCGUCCUAUCUCCACAGCUGAAAUAAAUAGCUAAUUGAUGUAUAUUACAGACAUUAUUCAUAGAUAUGUAUGUACAUGUAUAAUACAAUAUAUGUGUAAUAUUCAGAAUAUUAUACAACUGCAUAAUAUGAAUAAUCAAAGAUAUUUCUCAAUUCAUGGGAAAAUUUACGUUGUUUCCUUCUGCCCUGCCCCAUUAUACGAAAUUUUAAAUAUGUUCUUGUAUUCUAACUCUUUAUGUCUAUAGGAUGAGUAUCCAGAAGUUAGGCUGCUAGGUUAAAUGGUAGAAAGAUUUGUAAGGUUUUCUUUUACAUCAUUCCAGAUUACUUCCAAAUAAGAUUCACAUUUUUACCAAUACAAAUUCACAAAUACAAGAGUUUCUGCUUCCCUGAAUCUUAGCCAGUAUCAGAUAUAAUCACUUUUAAAAAAGUAUUUUGUCCAGCUUGAUAGCUAAAUAGUAUUACAUUCUUGAUUCCGAAAUCUCCUUGACUACUUGUUAUAGUUAUUUAACUGGAAUUCUUCUAAGCUCUCUUGAACUUUCUGAAAAUAGAGAAUGGUUAGUCAACAGGUUCUUCUCAAAUAAAUUUUUAAAAUGUCCCUUUUUUUCUCAAAGAUAUUUCAGAAAGACAAUAUCACUUGUUAGACUUAGCAGGUGAUCUUUGGCCACAGUGGGCAGUGAUGGAUUCUAAUAGUUCCAGAUCUUCGUUAUCUACAUGACCAUUGAUUCUCCCAAUGUCAGAAUGAGAAAAAGACUUUCUGUGUGUAUAUGUGUUUAUGAUAAUCCUCGAAAGCAGACGAUGACCAGUUUGAGUCAUGUGUCUGUUCUAGACCAAUCACAAUUUCAGAGGGAUUGGGUACUCGGAGAUGCUGGUGUGAGUCUUGUGUUCCCCUUUACGAAGAAGGAGAAGAACCAAAUGAUUGGCUGUUGCCACCCUCGACUCACCUCGUUGGAAGAAAGUCAGUUCCUGAAAGUAACAGAUGCUAGGCAGAACAGAAAGUACUAAAGGUCUACUGCAAGCCUUUCCGAGGUAUUUCCCUGAAGCAUCAUUUUUAACCAAGAAGAAAAGGUAAUAACAAGGCACUGAGCACAAUGCAGAACUUGAGGCAAUUAUAGAAACAGAACAAAGCCUGAAGUCUUUGAGUUAAUCAUUAAAUAUUAAUGAGAAUAAAUAUUUCAGCAAA
Molecule: non-coding RNA, 1753 nt
Organism: Equus caballus (horse)
Lineage: Eukaryota; Metazoa; Chordata; Mammalia; Perissodactyla; Equidae
Source: RefSeq, a predicted model, not a curated record